UAAUUGAUGGCACAUUAUUCUAGUCAAUUAUUUUAUUAUGAAGACGAGCUUAAAAAUUCGUUAAAGGGCAUAUCUGUGAAACCUUUGGUGUCUGCUUCCUACGCCCAGUUCGGGGUGGAUGCUGAAGAUGAGAAUCUUGGGCUACUUGUAAUGGCAUACGAGUCUAGUUCCAACAUUCGUGGAGACCUAUUAUUGUGGUAGAUCUAUACGGACAACAACUGAUGAUUUAUUACGAAAUAGGAUAGAAACCUGUAUUGUGGCGAAAGUUAUGUGCAGCGUAGCCUGUCUUGAGUGAAAAUAUUGGGAUAAAUGAACUUAUUCAAAUAAAUAGGCCGAUUUUUUUGAAUAUUGCAUUUUGAAAUUGUUUUUGCAAAAAAGGAUUAAUAAUAAAAUUUUGGUGAGGAAAUCUCCUAGAGUGCAUUUCAAUGUAGGAUUGCAGUGGGAACUAAGUGGUAAUCAAGUCGUAUAUUUCGGUGACGAUAUAUUAAUUCUUAUAAUGGGGAACCGCAAGUUUGGUAACGAACUUGUAAGAAUUAGGGAAAACCUACUUGACCUAAGUCUCAAAGUUUACUAUUUUGAAUGCCAAAUAAUUAUAAAA
Molecule: small RNA, 598 nt
Filed under: bovine gut metagenome
Source: RNAcentral